This 820-nucleotide ribosomal RNA is filed under the name uncultured bacterium. RNAcentral describes it as "bacterial SSU rRNA". It matches the Rfam family "Bacterial small subunit ribosomal RNA", at positions 22 to 876 of the family's 1533-position model. The record is from RNAcentral.
GCUCAGAACGAACGUUGGCGGCGUGGAUUAGGCAUGCAAGUCGGGGGAAUCCCGCAAGGGGGAACCGGCGUAAGGGGCAGUAAGGCAUGGGUACCUACCUUUGGGUUCGCAUAGCCAUCAGAGAUGGUGGGUAAUACCGGAUGAUGUCGUGAGACCAAAGAUUUAUCGCCCGGAGAGGGGCCCAUGUGAUAUUAGCUUGUUGGUGAGGUAACGGCUCACCAAGGCUAAGAUGUCUAGCGGGUGUGAGAGCACGACCCGCGCCACUCGCACUGAGACACUGGCGAGACACCUACGGGUGGCUGCAGUCGAGGAUCUUCGGCAAUGAGCGCAAGCUUGACCGAGCGACGCCGCGUGAGCGAUGAAGGCCUUCGGGUUGUAAAGCUCUUUAGUGGGGGAGAAAAGCCCGUAAGGGUGUGAUCUAUCCCAAAAAUAAGCACGGGCUAAGUUCGUGCCAGCAGCCGCGGUAAGACGAACCGUGCGAACGUUGUUCGGAAUCACUGGGCUUAAAGGGCGCGUAGGCGGGCUGUCAAGUCUGGGGUGAAAUGCCGCGGCUCAACCGUGGAACUGCCUUAGAUACUGACGGCCUCGAGGGAGGUAGGGGCGUGCGGAACUGUAGGUGGAGCGGUGUAAUGCGUUGAUAUCUACAGGAACUCCGGUGGCGAAAGCGGCGCGCUGGACCUCUUCUGACGCUGAGGCGCGAAAGCUAGGGGAGCAAACGGGAUUAGAUACCCCGGUAGUCCUAGCCCUAAACGAUGGGUACUAGAUAGUGGACUAGAUAUGGGUUUACUGUCGAAGCUAAAGUGCUAGGUACCCCGCCUGG